CCUACGGGAGGCAGCAGUAGGGAAUAUUGCUCAAUGGGGGAAACCCUGAUGCAGCAACGCCGCGUGAAGGAUGAAGGUUUUCGGAUUGUAAACUUCUUUUGUCAGAGAAGAAAAUGACGGUAUCUAAGGAAUAAGCACCGGCUAACUCCGUGCCAGCAGCCGCGGUAAUACGGAGGGUGCAAGCGUUAUUCGGAAUCACUGGGCGUAAAGGGCGCGUAGGCGGGAUAGCAAGUCAGAUGUGAAAGCCAAGGGCUUAACCAUCGGACUGCAUUUGAAACUGUUAUUCUGGAGUGUGGGAGAGGUAGGUGGAAUUCUUGGUGUAGGGGUGAAAUGCGUAGAUAUCAGGAGGAACACUAGUGGCGAAGGCGACCUGCUAGACCAUAACUGACGCUGAUGCGCGAAAGCGUGGGGAGCAAACAGGAUUAGAUACCCGUGUAGUC
RNAcentral lists this ribosomal RNA (440 nucleotides) under uncultured bacterium. Its description in RNAcentral is "partial 16S ribosomal RNA". It matches the Rfam family "Bacterial small subunit ribosomal RNA", at positions 338 to 795 of the family's 1533-position model. The record is from RNAcentral.